This 104-nucleotide small nuclear RNA is filed under the name Stegodyphus mimosarum. Lineage: Eukaryota; Metazoa; Arthropoda; Arachnida; Araneae; Eresidae. The record is from RNAcentral.
ACACCAUCGGCAGUACAUAUACUAAAAUUGGAACGAUACAGAGAAGAUUAGCAUGGCCCCUGCGCAAGGAUGACACCAUCACACCGGGGGUUAUGGCUAUAUGC